Non-coding RNA from Meleagris gallopavo (turkey), 328 nucleotides. The record is from RefSeq and is a predicted model, not a curated record. Lineage: Eukaryota; Metazoa; Chordata; Aves; Galliformes; Phasianidae.
GGACUAUUCUGAGAACACAGGGCCCUGGAGGAUGCUGCUCUGCAGCUCCUGCGGUUCCUGUGGCACCCACCAGCACUGCUCCGCCAUCGCAGAGGACGUUGAAUCGUGGGAGUGCAGCGGCUGCAGCGGUGUGGGCACCGCCCCUUCAGCGUCAGCCGCAGUGCAGUGAUCCCUGCACAGCACCCAGCUCCUGGCACUUUGGCUCCAGCACAAGAGGCUGCGACGCUCCAUGGACACGCGACGCUCAGCUGCCUGCACAGCCCAUGGAAGCCCCUCAGCCACUCCACCCUGCCAGCCUCUCAACAACAGCAGCCCUGCUGGUUGAACC